This is a long non-coding RNA of Perca flavescens (yellow perch), 1122 nucleotides long. RefSeq lists it as uncharacterized. The transcript has 4 exons. NCBI's taxonomy places the organism in Eukaryota, Metazoa, Chordata, Actinopteri, Perciformes, Percidae. The record is from RefSeq and is a predicted model, not a curated record.
AAGCUGCACGUGGUUUGAAACCAUCAAGCCCAACAAGCUGCAGGCUGCCAGACUGGAAGAAAACACUGGAAGAGAAGCUGUCGUUGUUGUUUGCCACACAAUAUACACCUUUUUUUUAAACGGAACUACACUCAGAGAGCGGGCUGGCCGCUGGCGGACUCAGCUGAGGGACACUGGAGCCAGCAGGCCGUUUUUUGGAGCGCGGACGAGAAGUAGCAGGGUGAGUCCCGAACACAGCACAACCCUUCUCACUCGGGGUGAGAUGAGAAGAUGGAGACCACUCCUAGCAGAUGGUUAGCUAAGCUUGGCACAAAAACUGGAAACGGGGGCCAACAUCUACCCUGGUUCAGUCCAAAGAAGCACAAUAUGACAACGGGGGGAAACAAGGCAAUUGUUUCACAAUGAUGACAUCACAAUCACAGGUGCUUAAAGGCCAACAGAGGGUGGGACACGAGAACAGGAGACGGAUCAGGUAAUCGUCACUGAUACCGUGCGGACGUGAACAGUGUCCGGGCCAGAGAACCGCAGCACUGUGAUACACUUAGAGAAACACAACACUCUUCACACAGACGAAAAAAGGUGAGACAUACACUGAGUGACAGUACAGCUAUGUUAUACCUACUAUAAAGGUAAAGGGAAUUAUGUUUUAAAAAGUUUAUGAAUACAUUUUGCGGAUAAUCUGCUAAUAACUCACCGUCUUGCAGACAAUCUGUUGAAAUCAUAAAUAUGAAAGUAAGAUGAGGACAUGUAAGCGCACAUAAUAAAUGUUGGGAUAAAAAUGUAAGAAAUGGAGAAUGUGUGUGUGGCUGUAUUCAAGAAUUUAGAUUUAUUUUUAUCAGCAAAACUUUAACUCCGCACAGAGAGAUUACUGUGCUUGUUUGAUUUUUGCUUCCUUGACUGUGAUUUGAAUAACAUUGUAAGUACAGACAAUGUAUUCCAGCACUGUGGGACUGCAGCUCAUUCUGUAGCUCUGAAUUUGUCCAGCAGAGGGAGUCAUGUCAUUUAGUGUGUGUGUGUGUGUGCACCUAGGCCAGAAUUGAAUACUUCACUUGCACAUACAUACAUAUACUUCAUUUGCUCCUACGUGCAUAACAUGUGUGCAUAAGUAUUUACAUAUGUUCA